GCCUUAGUAGCUCAGUUGGUAGUCAGCGUUACCUUCGUAAGGUAAAGGUCCGGAGUUCGAUUCUCCGCUGAGGCA
Chloropicon primus is the source of this 75-nucleotide non-coding RNA. NCBI's taxonomy places the organism in Eukaryota, Viridiplantae, Chlorophyta, Chloropicophyceae, Chloropicales, Chloropicaceae. The record is from the annotation of a GenBank genome assembly.